This is a long non-coding RNA of Gadus macrocephalus (Pacific cod), 759 nucleotides long. RefSeq lists it as uncharacterized. NCBI's taxonomy places the organism in Eukaryota, Metazoa, Chordata, Actinopteri, Gadiformes, Gadidae. The record is from RefSeq and is a predicted model, not a curated record. The transcript is spliced from 2 exons.
UCCACAGCCAUGGUGUAUAAAAAGCUGCAGGUCUCUCAGCCCUGAUGCAAAUAUCGGAGGAGUGAAGUUAUUUCUAUAAAUGCAGCACAUUUGAUCCUUAGGCUUAUGACUGUUUGAUGCGGUAUUACCAUUUCCGAACCACUGGUAGAACAAAGAUUACCACUGAAACGGUUGGCCAUUUGUACUGACUAGAAUAGGAGUACGAUAACGUUAAUGUAAAGUGUAUAGAGCAAGGUUUACUCCGACCUGCUCUGGCAGCGUAUGCUGCUGAGCUGGCUGUAGAGAGCCGGGGGCCUGGCCUGUCCCAGCGGCUGCAGGGUAAACAUGAUUAUCAGGUUGGACCGCACAGGAGACGACACGUCCUCAAUGGGGUUCAACACAGAGGAACGAAUCAAUUAAAAAAGACCACAAGACAGCCGUCAACAAUCACUUGUCAUUUUGUAUUUUUUUUUUUUUUGUAUUUUACAAUUAAAAACUUCAAAGAUUUAACAUGCAUAAUUUUUUUUUUAAACACUCAAACCAAACUACCAAAAGAAUCCGUUAUCUAAAUCAAAACUAAAUAAAUGAAUAGUAUUUUUUUUUUUAUAGUAUGUACAUUUUUUCUUCACUAAAAUCUCUGAAAAUCAGUUUGAGGCCAGUUAAUUAUUAAAGCAAAAAGCAUCAAUCAUUGUUUAAGAAACUAUAUACUCAAAUAUACUCAAGCACAUACCCCAGAUUGCAGCUAAAACAUUUAGACUUCUUAAGUAAAUUCAUAAAAUG